CUCGCAGCCGCCAUAGACGACGACGGACCGACCUUACUUACUCGCUUGCAAUAGUUUGCUAACUGUAUUUCGAUACCGUCAAAAGUCACACACACUUUACGAGCCUCUGUAUCGAACCGACAAUUUGACGGCACGCUCAAGUGAACUUUCAGGCAUUCGUUUGAUGAAAUGAGAGCACUACACAUUAUUUUGUUCCUCGUUGUCCUGGCAGCAAUGGAGUUGACAGAUGCAAAACCGUGCAAUAAUUUUCAAAGGGUUCUUUGCGAUAUGAAAUGUAUUCUGAGUAGCAACGUUUGCAUAGGCGGCGACGGAAUAUUCAAUUACACCUGCAACUGCAAAAUACCCGAAUAAAAAGAUAGCGUCGAUACACAGGCGCGCACACGGACGUAGCGGACUUUUCAACUGGCAAAAAGAUAAAAUAGAAGAAGAAGAAGAAGACGAAGAAAAAUUGACGACUCGCUCUCUAAAGAAUCCCAAGAUGCAGGCAAAAUAUCUGCGGCGAAUAAAUAAUGGCGCGAAGGCGAGUACGUGCGAUAGAGUCUCCUCCGAAUUAAGGGCCUCUCUAAUUGUAUUAUCCGCGGCUCGAGACGACGUCACUUUGCAUCGGUGCGCGAUGCGGGCUCGUUAAGACACGUCUUGCUCUUUUUUCUCCCUCGAAACACGUUUCACCCCCGCCGCACACACCUUUGAUACCGCUUUUUUCGGCAAUUUCGCUCCUCUCUCUCUCUCUCUCUUCCUCUCUUUCUCUCUUCGAUCUCUUUCGCUCGACAUUUCUUUUCUGGCCUUUUUGCCUGUCCUUUCUCGCAGGUCUGUCUGCUCACUCUCGACCGACUGGCGGCUUAGGAGGCUUCCUCUUUUUUCUUGUUACUUCGAGCAGCGCUCUUAAGUUGUCGCUCGGCCGCGAGAAUUUGACGACCGAUCUUGAUCAAUCCGCUAAUUAUUUUCAGGCUUGUUUUCGACCCAAAACAUUUUCAUGGGACACGAACAAGUCGCUUCCAAUCGCGACUUAUUGGCACUCGCGUCGCGAUCGUUAUCGUUCAUUUCAUUUUCAUUUUUCGUCCGAAAGCCCAUCCUUUUAAUAUUCCGCGUGUACACGUACACCAUUUUUUUCCAUUCAUGUUUUCCUCCCUCCGUCUCUCUCCUCUUUUUAAUAUCAACAACUCUCGGGCCAAUUUUUUGCAAAACGCUGCUACACGUGCAACCGUAUAAGCAUGGCAGCGAUAGAAUUGCAAGAGAAACCAAACUAAAGAAAUAAUUGAGUGGGGCCAGCAAAAAAUAUCGCCUGUCAAUAUUCCGAACAAACACGAUGUAAGCAAAGCAGAUCCGGCAAUAUUUGUCGGCGUGGACGCGGAAGAAAAGAUAUCGAAGGCAGGUGGAGCAAACGAUGAAAGAAUUUCUAUAAAGUAGAAUGGUGGUAGAGAGCGUCGGAGGGAUUUCGGUUGGCAGCUCUCGCGAGGAUUUACGAGGUUUCUUGUUGCAUUUAGGAGGGAGCGAUUGCAUCAUCACUCGGCAUUCCGGGGCCUUAAUUCGCGAGCUGCGCACUUUAGAAGCCAUCCGUCUUGAUGCGACGUGUCUCGGCUGGUUUUUCGGCAGGCACGACGGCACGAGAUAACGGAGUGCCGGCUAGCUUGACUCGUUCGCGCCUUCUUUCCAACGACACUGCCGCCGCCACUCCACGAUUGUUUCUCGCGUUGGCGUUCCACUCGACUCCCUGUCUAAUUAAGCGACAUCGCAGAUUCAUCGGUAUGUGCGAUUAUCGCACUGGAGGCGGAAGCACCUUGAUAGAAAGCGGAAUAUCAAUUGAAAUGGAAAUUCGUUUAGCUCUGCCUGCCGAAUAAAAUAAGGACUCUUGGCAGGUCUCUCUCGUCGGCUACAGGGCAGACAGGCCAGAAAAAAGAAGUCGCUUGAAAGCGAGUCCCGCGAAUAAUUAUCCCAGCACAAUUUACUUAUGCGCGCCUUCGGAUUAAAGGCACUCAGCCCCGUUACACACCGAGGGGACUCGGGGAGUCUUUGCAGCAGUGGUGAAGAGCGAGAUGGCGCGCCUAGUCGUUCGAUAUCCGAAGGGAUCGCGAGUGACGUCGUCGCGGGCCAAAUGGGGAGACGAAUAGAAAUAAAACUCGACGGCCAGACCAGGGAGACGCCACGCGGAAAGAUUUUUUGCCGAAGAUAGAGUGCCCGAGCCGCCGCCGCCGCCGCCGCCACGCGGCCUUCCAAGCUCGAAAGCGCUCGAAAGCGCUCGAAAGCGCUCGAAAGCGCUCGAAAGCGCUCGAAAGCGCUCGAAAGCGAACGAAAACGAGCGAAAGCGAGCGAAACACAGAGAGAUGCUCACGGCUACGCGCGCUGCUGCCAACGCUGCUGCUUCAACUUGGAAUCAGAAUAAUUUUAUUACUCCUUUUUGCGCUUGUCCUUCUGCUUCCUUUGCCGACUUGCCUGGUGAUCGGUGUAAUACGUGAGUCGCCUGCAAAAAUCUCUACAUCAGAUGCACA
This is a long non-coding RNA of Phymastichus coffea, 2486 nucleotides long. RefSeq lists it as uncharacterized. The transcript is spliced from 3 exons. Lineage: Eukaryota; Metazoa; Arthropoda; Insecta; Hymenoptera; Eulophidae. The record is from RefSeq and is a predicted model, not a curated record.